Oryzias melastigma (Indian medaka) is the source of this 889-nucleotide long non-coding RNA. RefSeq lists it as uncharacterized. NCBI's taxonomy places the organism in Eukaryota, Metazoa, Chordata, Actinopteri, Beloniformes, Adrianichthyidae. The record is from RefSeq and is a predicted model, not a curated record. The transcript is spliced from 3 exons.
ACGUUGACUCAAACCGAUUUGGACUAAUUCCUGGCUACUGAAAAUUUCUGGUUCCAACAUGGCGGCAUCUGUGUCGUGAAAAAAAUGGCAACUAAGUUGACGAAAGGCUUUGAUGAUGACAUAUUAGGCAAAAAUGGACUCCCAGUUCAAAUCGGGUCACAUUCCCACUGGGAUUGUCUGUACGCAGGGGGAGAGGAGACUUUGACACACCCAUUUCAAGGGAACUUCUUUUAUUCUAACUGGAACUGACUGGACAGAAGCAGGAGUGAUGUCUACUGUCGGUGAUAUCCGGAAGACAUGCCAACAGAACGGUGCAUGUGAGAAUUAUGCAGAGCUGUUGGGAAGUUUUGAGUCACUUUCAAGAACACCACAGAUAUGACAUUGGCAUUCAAAGUCGGUUAUGUGACAAGUGGCCAAACUGGAAAGAUUGGAGGAUCAGGACUUUGUCUUCACUGGAAGCGAUUCAUGAGUUCUGCAGAAGUGAAGCCUUGGGGCAGAAAGUAAAAAAAAAAAAAACCUGGGGGAGCAAUAAAAGUCCUCAAAGAAUUUCUGCGUUGGAGCUUUUGAACUGAAGAGGAGAAGAGCACAACAUUCUGGAUGACAUUUUUUUUUUAAAACAAACUACAAGUCAAACUGACUCUGAGAUGCAAAGAUCUGCAGAGGAGGAAAGGAAGCAAACAACAAUGCAUAAAGUACAGUGUGUCGAAACAUGCAGUAAUCUAAAUAUUAGCUUUUGUUUAUUGCAAGUUGAAAAGAAAAAGGUGUGCAAAUUCAUGCACACACUUGAAAAUCUCUAUUGGAUAAACAGAGUGCAAUAAAGUUAAAACAUGACUAUCAAGUAGAAUAAAAAACAGCAAAAAAGGGUUUUAUAGUAAAAAAAAAAAAAAAG